Molecule: ribosomal RNA, 397 nt
Filed under: uncultured bacterium
Lineage: Bacteria
Description: partial 16S ribosomal RNA
Rfam family: Bacterial small subunit ribosomal RNA
Source: RNAcentral
AUACGUAGGUGACAAGCGUUAUCCGGAUUUACUGGGCGUAAAGGGCGUGUAGGCGGUCUUGCAAGUCAGAAGUGAAAUUCCUGAGCUCAACUCGGGCGCUGCUUCUGAAACUGCAGGACUUGAGUGCUGGAGGGGAUAGCGGAAUUCCUAGUGGAGCGGUAAAAUGCGCAGAUUUUAGGAAGAACACCGGUGGCGAAGGCGGCUAUCUGGACAGUAACUGACGCUGGGGGGCGAAGGCGUGGGGACCAAACAGGAUUAGAUACCCUGGUAUUCCACGCUGUAAACGAUGAAUACUAGGUUUAGGGGGUAUCGACUCCCUCUGUGCCGCAGUUAACACAAUAAGUAUUCCGCCUGGGGAGUACGGCCGCAAGGUUGAAACUCAAAGGAAUUGACGGGG